GUUGGAGGACGGUUUUAUAAACUAAAUUAUACAGAACACCUCUCUUUAACAACAGUUUUAUUUGAUUUAUCACAUAAUAAAAAAAAUAUACGAAAAAUCUAACUUCAUAAUAUAGAACGCCUAGGAAUGGUCACAGUUUUGUAAGAGGAGUCAAACAAAACGCCUCUAUUAGAGAAACGUUCUAGCGCCUCUUUAGUUUAAAAAUGAAUCUAACCGACCUAAACCCAUUUAUUCUCUUUGUGCGCCUCUUCAUUAGCCUUCUAAAUCUCAGCCCUCCAUUUUUUCCCUUUAGAACCCACGAUCUCCAUCUUCUCCCACUAACAAAAUUGAUAAACUCCCAUAAACCCACCUUCACCCAUUUCAAUUAUUUUUUAAAGCUUGAACCAAAAAUAAUUCUCCAUAACUUCUUUUACCUUCUUCUCUUAGUUUUUAAGCUUCAGACUAUCUCCUUCACCACCGUUCUUCACCAAACUCUCUUAUCGCCAGGGUCGAUUUCAGGCCACCUUUGGCUCCGAUUUUGUCAAUGGAAGCGGCGCAUCUUUCGUCUUGCGAUUUCUUCUCUGAUUUUCUAAUAUUCAUCAAUGGAAGCAAGAAUAGCCGACUUAUUUGAUUCGAACUUUUUUUUUUUAAUUUUUUAUCGCAUUCUUCUCCAUUAUACAGAGUAUUGAGAAGUUCAAUUACUGUAUUAAUUUUUUUUAAUUAGAAUUGUAUUAUACGAAAGACUAUAAUACGAGUAUGAGUUAUAAAUUUAGAAUACGUA
This is a long non-coding RNA of Chenopodium quinoa (quinoa), 760 nucleotides long. RefSeq lists it as uncharacterized. The record is from RefSeq and is a predicted model, not a curated record. The transcript is spliced from 2 exons. Lineage: Eukaryota; Viridiplantae; Streptophyta; Magnoliopsida; Caryophyllales; Amaranthaceae.